CAGUUUCAUGGAGACACAUACGAAGAACGCUGAAGAUAAUGAAGAAAUUACACCACAACCCAAACGCAGAAAGCUUUCUGAUGUUGAAAGCAACGUUUUGAAGCAUUCCAAAAGACCAAGCUUCGCCUUUACGAAACGGAUGAAAGAAUGUCUUAGAACUAGAGAGUAACUUACAGAUGAACACAUUUCCUUGGCGCAAGUUCUUUUGAAAGCACUGUUCCCCACAUAGACGGCCUUCAACCUCACUUGCCAUCAAGGGUUGACGAUUUCAGGACAGUGGAACAGGAAAGUAUACAAAUCCACAAACUGGAGAAUGAACAAUGGGAACGUCUAGCAACAUAGGGCAAAAAGCUGCUCUAUAUUACAGCGAUUUUCCAGGAUUUGAAAUUGAUCCACAUCUAAGUCAACAACUGGGAGUGAUUGACCAGCUAGCUGCGUUGGAAGAGGACAGCCAGCGAUAGUGAAGAACAGGAUUUUCACCACCUAGGCUUGCGUGUAGAAUUGCCCUAUGUGCAGCAGCAAGUGAGAGUCAAUGACAGUGGUCUUUUUGCUAUUGCAUUUGCAGUGCAUCUAGCACGUGGAGAAGACUUAACCACCGUGAAAUUUGAGCAGCAACAAAUGAGAGAACAUCUUGCCAGAUGUUUUAGACGAAAGUCGUUGACUCCGUUUUCACUAGAGACUAACAUAUCUACUAAUAAACAGCGUCCAUCUAAACGCAGAGGUACUACAAUUGAGCUAUGCAGAAUGUGCCUAAUGCCUGCGACAUAUGACAACUCGAGUGUCUGCCCACAGCACAGCAACAUCUUAGAGCCAGACAAUUCAGAAGAGGAAUCGCAUGGUAGUGGUAACGGUACAGAUUUCUUUUCAUAAUCACCAUAAGAAACAGUCACUAGCACUUAUAAUUAAUUUAAUAGUUUGUAUUUGUAACAGGAACUAAAUUAAUCGUAUUUUCUAUAAUAUGUUGAUAACAUUGAAUUUCCUAUCUAGUUUUUACUGUAACAGUAACAUAGCAAUACGCAAUGCAAGCA
Corticium candelabrum is the source of this 1028-nucleotide long non-coding RNA. RefSeq lists it as uncharacterized. The record is from RefSeq and is a predicted model, not a curated record. The transcript is spliced from 3 exons. Lineage: Eukaryota; Metazoa; Porifera; Homoscleromorpha; Homosclerophorida; Plakinidae.